This is a long non-coding RNA of Sciurus carolinensis (gray squirrel), 1900 nucleotides long. RefSeq lists it as uncharacterized. The transcript has 4 exons. Lineage: Eukaryota; Metazoa; Chordata; Mammalia; Rodentia; Sciuridae. The record is from RefSeq and is a predicted model, not a curated record.
CUCUCUGGCGGCAACUCUCACCGAACUCGCUCCUUUGCCGCCCUCUCCCGCGCCACCCAGCCCCCUACCCGCCACCGCGUCCGGGAUCUCUGCAUUCCCGCCCGAGGGCCCCGCGCUGGGACCGGAGAGGCGCGCGGCUCCUGCCCGAGGCCCCGGGAACCGCCUCCAGUCCCUGUACCCGUCGAGUCUGGCUGCUUCGAGGCGUCGAUGGCUCCUGGGACCGAAUCCGGGGUUCCAGGGGCCAAGGCAGGGAGCAGGCUCAGGCUUGGGAACCGUAUCCUUGGGGUUUUCUUUCCUCCUCUCUGGGCCGCGAGUGGCACUUUCUCAUGUUUCUGCGGCCUCCCCCUCUCUCCCGACCCUGAGUGUCCUGUCUGGUGCCCGCAGCAGGUCUGACUCUCUGAUGCCAUCUGCCGCUCAUAUUCUCAGAAACCGCCACACCGCUCGCAGACACCAAGGCGGUAGGGUAAUCCAGUGUUUCCCGGUAUCUGGAGAAGAAACGUCAAAGGUUACAGGAGCCCGUCCAGCCUUAGGCCAAGUCCUCUUGGCAUAUCGCGACGGGGAAUCUGGGAGUUUGACACGGAAGCUAGCAGGAUGUGUGUGACCUGAAACUCCAGAACGCACGAGAAAGAACAGGAAGAAGCAGACACUGACGAUGUGGAGGGGCUGUUCCCACCCCCAUGAGCCAGGGCAGCUAGAGCCACCUCCACCUGUGGGAUGAAGUCCUUUCCCUGCUGUGUAGGAAAGCCCUUUGUCCCAUGGACCCUCUGGCCUCCCCUCACAAGGCGCCUCCCAGCAGCCUGACCUCCACUUCCCUCUUCACACUGCGGAAACCACAGGCCCCUUCACUCCUCCAUCACAGGACUCCGGAACUGCGGCUGUUCAGUAGGAAAGACCAAAAGCAAAUGGUAAACAAGAGAGAAGACACACAUGCACACACAAAUAAAAACAGCAGCAGCCACACCACUACCACCACCGCCACAGCUGCGGGCACACCAGGGGACUGGGCCAAGAGCUGCCCAGGAGGCUGUCAGGACUGAACUCACGGAAGUCUUUGUGCAAGCUCUACCUUCCAGGAGCCUUAGCCAGGGCUGCAAAUCAGCUCCUAGUGGACCAGACUCAAGACUCAGAUGGAAGUCUCUGGCAAGAGGAGAGAUGGCUGCAGAAUGAGACACCUUUCUCCUGGAAAGCCCCACCACUGCCCCUCCCCAGUUUGCUCUGGGGGCAAGCUGGCUGCAGAGCAGACCCAGUGCUAAGGAAGACACCCCUCUUAGGUCUGCCAUGGUGGCCUGCUGGAUCCAGCCCACCCUCCAGCCAGCAAAUGGAGUUUGGGUACUUGAAAGCCCUCGGGAAGGCACAGGGGCUUUCCAGCUGACUCCUGUUGGGGCGAUCGGAAGUGGGGAAUGAAGAGACCUCUGGAGGCAGGUGUGGGAGCACUUGAGGGAGAUCUGGCAUCCCCAGUCCUGCCUCUAACUAGCCCUGAUUACAUUUUUUUUAAAGACAGACACAAUAUCUUUAUUUUUAUGUGGUGCUGAGGAUUGAACCCAGUCCCUCCCAUGUGCUAGGCAAUUGCUUUACUGCUGAGUUACAACCCCAGCCCCCUAAUUACAUUUAAGGGCUGUGAUAGUUCAAUUGUUUUUGCAACUUCUCUCCAGGGGAAAUAGAAACUUAAUUUAGAUUUUCCCUUAGUGUCUACAAUGUGCAAACUUUCCUAGCAGCAUCUUAGACUUGGGUUAUGAAGCCUGGAGAGAGGAGUGAAUUGAAUUCAUGUCUCGAUAAGAUUUCAUUGGACAUGCCCAGUCCUGUACAAUGCAAUGAUUUUAAGCUAAUAUUUGUAUUUACACUAAAAAAACCCAAGUUAUCUUUGCCUUUUUACUCGAGAGCUUGUUUGGAGGUUCUAGAA